Molecule: ribosomal RNA, 482 nt
Filed under: uncultured bacterium
Lineage: Bacteria
Description: partial 16S ribosomal RNA
Rfam family: Bacterial small subunit ribosomal RNA
Source: RNAcentral
GACGAACGCUGGCGGCGUGCUUAACACAUGCAAGCCGAACGAUGAAACCUAGCUUGCUAGGUCGAUUAGUGGCGAACGGGUGAGUAACACGUGACUAACCUGCCCCUUUCUCUGGGAUAACGCUCCGAAAGGAGUGCUAAUACCGGAUACUCACACCGAGGCACAUGCCUUGGUGUGGAAAGUUUUUCGGAAAGGGAUGGAGUCGCGGCCUAUCAGCUUGUUGGUGAGGUAACGGCUCACCAAGGCGACGACGGGUAGCCGGCCUGAGAGGGCGACCGGCCACACUGGGACUGAGACACGGCCCAGACUCCUACGGGAGGCAGCAGUGGGGAAUAUUGCACAAUGGGCGCAAGCCUGAUGCAGCGACGCCGCGUGAGGGAUGAAGGUCUUCGGAUUGUAAACCUCUUUCAGUAGGGACGAGGCGAAAGUGACGGUACCUAAAGAAGAAGCACCGGCUAACUACGUGCCAGCCGCCGCCGUAA